GCAUCUAAAAUGGUGCUUUAUUCAGAAAAGCAAUUUCAGGCCACUAAACACAAUGUCAAACAGGCACAAAGUAAACCUGAUUAAAAACAGUUCAAAUUCAUAAUAUAAUUCGCAAAGAAAAGCAUAUAAUGUAGAAAAAAAAUUCAUAAGAAAGCAACGCAGACUGCCAGAUUCAGCAUUUUGUAAUAACUACACGCCUGGACAAUCAAGGAAGCAGAAAAAGAAAACACAAAUUAGAAAAAUAGAAGAGUACAAAUAUUGAGCACAGAAAAAUAGUAAUUGAAAGUAUCUAACCAAUUAUUGAGCAGAAAAAUCAAGUAAUUGUUUCAGCACAUGCAAGCCAUCUAUCUCAAAGAUCAAGUAAUUGAAAGUUUAUACCCAAAGCAAUUCUCUCUGCAAUUUCAUUAACAUGAACUAUCAAUGAGCUGUAACAAGAUGUUGAUAUGCUGUUCUAAGCUCAGCAAGUAAGCCAUUGGCAAACAUUAAACUCACUCUCCGCAAUCAUGCUGAGAUCAACACUGAAUCACAACCAGUUUGAUUUAACUCAUUGAAACUUGUUAUGCCUACACACGUAAUAAUCCAUACGCCAACUUCCAAGAAGCAAAGCAUAAAGAACGAACAAUAAGCUAAAAAGUUGGAGAUAAGUCAU
This 649-nucleotide unclassified non-coding RNA is filed under the name Hevea brasiliensis (rubber tree). Lineage: Eukaryota; Viridiplantae; Streptophyta; Magnoliopsida; Malpighiales; Euphorbiaceae. The record is from RNAcentral.